RNAcentral lists this ribosomal RNA (576 nucleotides) under Amnirana galamensis (Galam white-lipped frog). RNAcentral describes it as "partial large subunit ribosomal RNA". It matches the Rfam family "Bacterial large subunit ribosomal RNA", at positions 1811 to 2614 of the family's 2925-position model. Lineage: Eukaryota; Metazoa; Chordata; Amphibia; Anura; Ranidae. The record is from RNAcentral.
AAACAUCGCCUCUUGCCAAAAUUAUAAGAGGUCCAGCCUGCCCGGUGACAAAGUUUAACGGCCGCGGUACCCUAACCGUGCAAAGGUAGCAUAAUCACUUGUUCCUUAAAUAGGGACUAGUAUCAACGGCACCACGAGGGCCAUACUGUCUCCUCUCCUCAAUCAGUGAAACUGAUCUCCCCGUGAAGAAGCGGGGAUUAAACUAUAAGACGAGAAGACCCCAUGGAGCUUUAAGCAACAUCUUCAUCUCUUGUUUUUUUCAUCAACCUAAUAUAAAAUGAAUUGAAUUCUAGCUUUAGAUUGGGGAGAUCGCGGAGUACAAAUCAACCUCCACGACAAACGGACAGUGUCCUUAUCCAUGAACCACAUUUCUAAGAAUUAGCACACUAAUGUUUUUGACCCAUAUAUAUGAUCAACGAACCAAGUUACCCUGGGGAUAACAGCGCAAUCUACUUUAAGAGUCCAUAUCGACAAGUAGGUUUACGACCUCGAUGUUGGAUCAGGACAUCCCAGUGGUGCAGCCGCUACUAACGGUUCGUUUGUUCAACGAUUAAAGUCCUACGUGAUUGUUUUUAA